RNAcentral lists this ribosomal RNA (478 nucleotides) under uncultured bacterium. RNAcentral's name for it is "partial 16S ribosomal RNA". It matches the Rfam family "Bacterial small subunit ribosomal RNA", at positions 28 to 507 of the family's 1533-position model. The record is from RNAcentral.
GAUGAACGCUGGCGGCGUGCCUAACACAUGCAAGUCGAACGGAGUCCAGCCUUUAAGACCUUCGGGUCAAAGAGGGGAAGACUGAGUGGCGGACGGGUGAGUAACACGUGGGCAACCUGGCUCAUAGAGGGGGAUAACAGAGAGAAAUUUCUGCUAAUACCGCAUAAACACACACUGCCGCAUGGCAGAGGGUGAAAAGAGAAUCGCUAUGAGAUGGACCCGCGUCUGAUUAGCCAGUUGGCAGGGUAAGAGCCUACCAAAGCGACGAUCAGUAGCCGAUCUGAGAGGAUGAACGGCCACAUUGGGACUGAGACACGGCCCAAACUCCUACGGGAGGCAGCAGUGGGGGAUAUUGCACAAUGGGGGGAACCCUGAUGCAGCGACGCCGCGUGAGUGAAGAAGUAUUUCGGUAUGUAAAGCUCUAUCAGCAGGGAAGAUAAUGACAGUACCUGAAUAAGAAGCCCCGGCUAACUACGUG